UUGGAGGGCAAGUCUGGUGCCAGCAGCCGCGGUAAUUCCAGCUCCAAUAGCGUAUAUUAAAGUUGUUGCAGUUAAAAAGCUCGUAGUUGAAUUUCGGGAUUGACGUGACGGUCGUGCCUUAAGGGGUAUGAACUGUCGCUGUUGAUUUCUCACCUUCUGGAGAAUCUCGAUGCCCUUUAUUGGGUGUCUUGUGGAUCCAGGACCUUUACCUUGAAAAAAUUAGAGUGUUUAAGGCAGGCAUUUUUGCCCGAAUACAUUAGCAUGGAAUAAUAGAAUAGGACGGCUUGGUUCUAUUUUGUUGGUUUCUAGGAUCACCGUAAUGAUUAAUAGGGAUAGUUGGGGGCAUUAGUAUUCAAUUGUCAGAGGUGAAAUUCUUGGAUUUAUUGAAGACUAACUACUGCGAAAGCAUUUGCCAAGGAUGUUUUCAUUAAUCAAGAACGAAAGUUAGGGGAUCGAAGACGAUCAGAUACCGUCGUAGUCUUAACCAUAAACUAUGCCGACUAGGAAUCAGACGAUGUUAAUUUUUUAAUGACUCGUUUGGCACCUUAUGGGAAACCAAAG
RNAcentral lists this ribosomal RNA (561 nucleotides) under uncultured Glomus. Its description in RNAcentral is "SSU rRNA". It matches the Rfam family "Eukaryotic small subunit ribosomal RNA", at positions 548 to 1103 of the family's 1831-position model. The record is from RNAcentral. Lineage: Eukaryota; Fungi; Glomeromycota; Glomeromycetes; Glomerales; Glomeraceae.